GACGAACGCUGGCGGCGUGCUUAACACAUGCAAGUCGAACGGAAAGGCCCUGCUUUUGUGGGGUGCUCGAGUGGCGAACGGGUGAGUAACACGUGAGUAACCUGCCCUUGACUUUGGGAUAACUUCAGGAAACUGGGGCUAAUACCGGAUAUGAGCUCCUGCUGCAUGGUGGGGGAUGGAAAGGUUCGGCGGUUGGGGAUGGACUCGCGGCUUAUCAGCUUGUUGGUGGGGUAGUGGCUUACCAAGGCUUUGACGGGUAGCCGGCCUGAGAGGGUGACCGGCCACAUUGGGACUGAGAUACGGCCCAGACUCCUACGGGAGGCAGCAGUGGGGAAUAUUGCACAAUGGGCGGAAGCCUGAUGCAGCAACGCCGCGUGCGGGAUGACGGCCUUCGGGUUGUAAACCGCUUUCGCCUGUGACGAAGCGUGAGUGACGGUAAUGGGUAAAGAAGCACCGGCUAACUACGUG
RNAcentral lists this ribosomal RNA (468 nucleotides) under uncultured bacterium. RNAcentral describes it as "partial 16S ribosomal RNA". It matches the Rfam family "Bacterial small subunit ribosomal RNA", at positions 28 to 507 of the family's 1533-position model. The record is from RNAcentral.